This 133-nucleotide ribosomal RNA is filed under the name uncultured bacterium. Its description in RNAcentral is "partial 16S ribosomal RNA". It matches the Rfam family "Bacterial small subunit ribosomal RNA", at positions 356 to 487 of the family's 1533-position model. The record is from RNAcentral.
AGGGAAUAUUGGUCAAUGGGCGAGAGCCUGAACCAGCCAUGCCGCGUGCAGGAUGACGGCCUUCUGGGUUGUAAACUGCUUUUAUCAGGGAAGAAAAGGGUGAUGCGUCACCGAUUGACUGUACCUGAAGAAU